Molecule: ribosomal RNA, 802 nt
Filed under: fungal endophyte
Lineage: Eukaryota; Fungi
Description: eukaryotic LSU rRNA
Rfam family: Eukaryotic large subunit ribosomal RNA (bases 480-802)
Source: RNAcentral
GAGUUUACAACUCCCAAACCCAUUGCGAACCUACCAUUGUUGCUUCGGCGGACCUCGCCCCGCGUCCGCGCGGGGCCCGCCGGAGGCCCCAAACUCUUGCAUUCCAGCGGGUUUUUCUGAGUGGCACAAGCAAAUAAAUCAAAACUUUCAACAACGGAUCUCUUGGUUCUGGCAUCGAUGAAGAACGCAGCGAAAUGCGAUAAGUAAUGUGAAUUGCAGAAUUCAGUGAAUCAUCGAAUCUUUGAACGCACAUUGCGCCCGCUAGUAUUCUGGCGGGCAUGCCUGUUCGAGCGUCAUUUCAACCCUCAAGUCCCCGGACUUGGUGUUGGGGCCCGGCCAGCUGUCCUGCGGGGCGCGGCCGGCCCUGAAAUUCAGUGGCGGUCUCGCUGCAGCCUCCCUUGCGUAGUAGCACACCUCGCACCGGAGCGCGGCGCGGCCACGCCGUAAAAACGCUGCCCCAGGGCGCGCUUUUCGAAGGUUGACCUCGAAUCAGGUAGGGAUACCCGCUGAACUUAAGCAUAUCAAUAAGCGGAGGAAAAGAAACCAACAGGGAUUGCCCUAGUAACGGCGAGUGAAGCGGCAACAGCUCAAAUUUGAAAUCUGGCCCUCGGGUCCGAGUUGUAAUUUGCAGAGGAAGCUUUUGGCGCGGCGCCUUCCGAGUUCCCUGGAACGGGACGCCAUAGAGGGUGAGAGCCCCGUCCGGUUGGAUGCCUAGNCUCUGUAAAGCUCCUUCGACGAGUCGAGUAGUUUGGGAAUGCUGCUCUAAAUGGGAGGUAUAUGUCUUCUAAAGCUAAAUACNCGG